This 253-nucleotide ribosomal RNA is filed under the name uncultured bacterium. RNAcentral's name for it is "partial 16S ribosomal RNA". It matches the Rfam family "Bacterial small subunit ribosomal RNA", at positions 524 to 776 of the family's 1533-position model. The record is from RNAcentral.
UACGAAGAGGGCUAGCGUUGUUCGGAUUUACUGGGCGUAAAGCGCAUUUAGGCGGGUCGUUAAGUUGGGGGUGAAAUCCCGAGGCUCAACCUCGGAACUGCCUUCAAAACUGGCGACCUGGAGCAAGAUAGAGGCAAGUGGAAUUGCGAGUGUAGAGGUGAAAUUCGUAGAUAUUCGCAGGAACACCAGUGGCGAAGGAGACUUGCUGGAUCUUUGCUGAGGUUGAGAUGCGAAAGCGUGGGGAGCAAACAGG